This 99-nucleotide signal recognition particle RNA is filed under the name Candidatus Ventrenecus avicola. RNAcentral describes it as "signal recognition particle sRNA small type". The stretch from base 9 to 88 matches the Rfam family "Bacterial small signal recognition particle RNA". Rfam says of the family: The signal recognition particle (SRP) is a universally conserved ribonucleoprotein involved in the co-translational targeting of proteins to membranes. Archaeal SRP consists of a 7S RNA and homologues of the eukaryotic SRP19 and SRP54 proteins. The record is from RNAcentral. RNAcentral also lists the same sequence under 1 other name.
AUUCUUUGUACGUGCAACAAAUAUAUUGUAACCUGGUCAGGAUCGGAAGAUAGCAGCCACGUCAAUCACUGUUUGUGUGCACUUUUUUUUGGGAGAAUU